GAUGAACGCUGGCGGCGUGCCUAAUACAUGCAAGUCGAGCGAACAGAUAAGGAGCUUGCUCCUUUGACGUUAGCGGCGGACGGGUGAGUAACACGUGGGUAACCUACCUAUAAGACUGGGAUAACUUCGGGAAACCGGAGCCAAUACCGGAUAAUAUUUCGAACCGCAUGGUUCGAUAGUGGAAGAUGGUUUUGCUAUCACUUAUAGAUGGACCCGCGCCGUAUUAGCUAGUUGGUAAGGUAACGGCUUACCAAGGCGACGAUACGUAGCCGACCUGAGAGGGUGAUCGGCCACACUGGAACUGAGACACGGUCCAGACUCCUACGGGAGGCAGCAGUAGGGAAUCUUCCGCAAUGGGCGAAAGCCUGAAGGAGCAACGCCGCGUGAGUGAUGAAGGUCUUCGGAUCGUAAAACUCUGUUAUUAGGGAAGAACAUACGUGUAAGUAACUGUGCACGUCUUGACGGUACCUAAUCAGAAAGCCACGGCUAACUACGUG
RNAcentral lists this ribosomal RNA (497 nucleotides) under uncultured bacterium. RNAcentral's name for it is "partial 16S ribosomal RNA". It matches the Rfam family "Bacterial small subunit ribosomal RNA", at positions 28 to 507 of the family's 1533-position model. The record is from RNAcentral.